GCUUGCUUCGGAAACACAUAUACUAAAAUUGGGAUGAUACAAAAAAUCAGCAUGGCCCCUGUGCAAGGAUGAUGCACAAAUUAGUGAAGUGUUUCGUAUUUCC
This 103-nucleotide small nuclear RNA is filed under the name Catagonus wagneri (Chacoan peccary). Lineage: Eukaryota; Metazoa; Chordata; Mammalia; Artiodactyla; Tayassuidae. The record is from RNAcentral.